This 56-nucleotide ribosomal RNA is filed under the name Candidatus Fermentithermobacillaceae bacterium. RNAcentral describes it as "partial 23S ribosomal RNA". The record is from RNAcentral. Lineage: Bacteria; Bacillati; Bacillota; Candidatus Fermentithermobacillia; Candidatus Fermentithermobacillales; Candidatus Fermentithermobacillaceae.
GUAAGCGUGGUAACACGUUUAGCUGACCGGUACUAAUAGGUCGAGGCCUCGACCCU